RNAcentral lists this ribosomal RNA (513 nucleotides) under uncultured bacterium. RNAcentral describes it as "partial 16S ribosomal RNA". It matches the Rfam family "Bacterial small subunit ribosomal RNA", at positions 29 to 523 of the family's 1533-position model. The record is from RNAcentral.
AUUGAACGCUGGCGGCAUGCCUAACACAUGCAAGUCGAACGGCAGCACAGUAAAGAUUUCGGUCUUUAUGGGUGGCGAGUGGCGGACGGGUGAGUAAUGCGUAGGAAUCUGUCCUGGAGAGUAGGAUAACCCGAGGAAACUCGGGCUAAUACUGCAUGAUAUCGAGAGAUCACAGGCAGGGGACCCUCAGGGGCCUUGCGCUCUAGGAUGAGCCUACGUCGGAGUUAGCGAGUUGGUGGGGUAAAGGCCUACCACGGCGACGAUCCGUAGCUGGGCGAAGAGAAUGACAAGCCACACUGGAACGGGGAAACGGCCAAGACUCCUACGGGAGGAAGCAGUGGGGAGUCUUGGACAAGGGGGGAAACCCUGAUCCAGCGAUGCCGCGGGGGUGAAGAGGGCCUUCGGGUUGUAAAGCACUUUAGUUGGGGAAGAAAAGUAAUGAGUGAAUAACUGAUUGCUCGACCGGUACCAAAAGAAUAAGCACCGGCUACUCUGUGCCAGCAGCCGCCGUAA